RNAcentral lists this ribosomal RNA (564 nucleotides) under uncultured bacterium. RNAcentral describes it as "partial 16S ribosomal RNA". It matches the Rfam family "Bacterial small subunit ribosomal RNA", at positions 355 to 912 of the family's 1533-position model. The record is from RNAcentral.
UGGGGAAUUUUGGACAAUGGGGGAAACCCUGAUCCAGCCAUCCCGCGUGUGCGAUGAAGGCCUUCGGGUUGUAAAGCACUUUUGGCAGGAAAGAAACGUCGCGGGUUAAUACCCCGCGAAACUGACGGUACCUGCAGAAUAAGCACCGGCUAACUACGUGCCAGCAGCCGCGGUAAUACGUAGGGUGCAAGCGUUAAUCGGAAUUACUGGGCGUAAAGCGUGCGCAGGCGGUUCGGAAAGAAAGAUGUGAAAUCCCAGAGCUUAACUUUGGAACUGCAUUUUUAACUACCGGGCUAGAGUGUGUCAGAGGGAGGUGGAAUUCCGCGUGUAGCAGUGAGAUGCGUAGAUAUGCGGAGGAACACCGAUGGCGAAGGCAGCCUCCUGGGAUAACACUGACGCUCAUGCACGAAAGCGUGGGGAGCAAACAGGAUUAGAUACCCUGGUAGUCCACGCCCUAAACGAUGUCAACUAGCUGUUGGGGCCUUCGGGCCUUGGUAGCGCAGCUAACGCGUGAAGUUGACCGCCUGGGGAGUACCGUCGCAAGAUUAAAACUCAAAUGAAUUG